Molecule: ribosomal RNA, 253 nt
Filed under: uncultured bacterium
Lineage: Bacteria
Description: partial 16S ribosomal RNA
Rfam family: Bacterial small subunit ribosomal RNA
Source: RNAcentral
UACGUAGGGUGCGAGCGUUAAUCGGAAUUACUGGGCGUAAAGCGUGCGCAGGCGGUUUUGUAAGUCAGAUGUGAAAUCCCCGGGCUCAACCUGGGAACUGCGUUUGAAACUACAAGGCUAGAGUGUGGCAGAGGGGGGUGGAAUUCCACGUGUAGCAGUGAAAUGCGUAGAGAUGUGGAGGAACACCGAUGGCGAAGGCAGCCCCCUGGGUUAACACUGACGCUCAGGCACGAAAGCGUGGGGAGCGAACAGG